AUUGAAGUGCCUGAAAUCAAAGGAAUAUCGUGAUAGGAUAUAUAAUGUAAAUAUUUACCUUCAUUA
This 66-nucleotide transfer RNA is filed under the name Trigonopteryx hopei. RNAcentral's name for it is "tRNA-Ile". The record is from RNAcentral. Lineage: Eukaryota; Metazoa; Arthropoda; Insecta; Orthoptera; Trigonopterygidae.